GUAGCUCAGUUGGCUAGAGCAUCAGCCUUCCAAGCUGAGGGUCGCGGGUUCGAGUCCCGUUUCCCGCUCCA
This 71-nucleotide transfer RNA is filed under the name Campylobacter jejuni. RNAcentral describes it as "tRNA-Gly". It matches the Rfam family "tRNA". From Rfam's summary of the family: Transfer RNA (tRNA) molecules are approximately 80 nucleotides in length. Their secondary structure includes four short double-helical elements and three loops (D, anti-codon, and T loops). Further hydrogen bonds mediate the characteristic L-shaped molecular structure. tRNAs have two regions of fundamental functional importance: the anti-codon, which is responsible for specific mRNA codon recognition, and the 3' end, to which the tRNAs corresponding amino acid is attached (by aminoacyl-tRNA synthetases). tRNAs cope with the degeneracy of the genetic code in two manners: having more than one tRNA (with a specific anti-codon) for a particular amino acid; and 'wobble' base-pairing, i.e. permitting non-standard base-pairing at the 3rd anti-codon position. The record is from RNAcentral. Lineage: Bacteria; Pseudomonadati; Campylobacterota; Epsilonproteobacteria; Campylobacterales; Campylobacteraceae.